This is a long non-coding RNA of Monopterus albus (swamp eel), 4204 nucleotides long. RefSeq lists it as uncharacterized. The record is from RefSeq and is a predicted model, not a curated record. The transcript is spliced from 3 exons. Lineage: Eukaryota; Metazoa; Chordata; Actinopteri; Synbranchiformes; Synbranchidae.
CAGAUCAUGUAGUGCAGUGUCAACUUUACAUAUUUUCUUUGAUUCCAUAUUUGUUCAUGUGAACAGACCCAUAAAGAAAGGGUUCAACAUUUUUGCAAUUAUCUAGUGGUGAGUUAGGACCAAAGAAUACUAUGUAGAGCUUUUUGAUCAGGAAUGUACCUUGAUGACAGGGAAGGACAGUGCAAGGAGUCCUUGUGUUAUCAGUAGUCCACGUUUUAACUUGGAAAACACUCAGAACUCCAUCAGUUUCACAUAACACCUAAAGUAUCGGGGAUAUUGUAAAGGGAGGCAGGUUCACAAGGGUGAAGUUACUGUGUGACACAUGAGCUUAUCCUACUUUGUUUUUAAAAGGUGUUAAAAGAAUAGUUUGACAUUUUGUGACAUACUCUCAUCAGCUUUCUGGUGGAGAAUGAGUAGAUUCAACCAACUCAUUUCUAUUUUUUUUAAAUAUAAUAACGUUAGAUUGAAUUCUUGUCAUCCACCGGACGCUCUUUCCUUAUCUUUAAGCUAAGUGAAGCUAAGACGACCGCCCCAUUUUACAUAAGGACCUGAAAUUGAAUUUUUUAUUUUUAUUUUGAUAUAGCUAAUUAUGUACAAGAUUCCCGCAUUUUUACGUUCAGUGAACACAACACCGGUAGUUCCUUGGUUCACCUCAACUUUGAUUGGUUACUAUACGUUGUGGCUAGCCAAUCACGUGGUUCCCUAUUACACGUCCAUGCUGUAAGGGUGCAUUUGGGUACCGGCUUAUUCUCAAGGAUAUCCCCGCAUGUUAGACUAGACAUUAAAUGUGUAUUAGUUAUGUGUGUGGACAGUAUUGGUUAUCUGUGGAGGGCAGUAAUACUCCUAGCUGCGUCUACACUUGGAUUAUAGAAGAAGAAGGCGCUGUCGGGCUUAUGGCCUGCAGACAGUCGCGUUAGCAGAGUUAACGCGACUGAGCUUCUACUUUUCCAAAGUGGGGAAAAAUAUAAGAAAGGCGUCUAAAAGUGAGACUGAUCUAAAGACUGCAGAGAUCUGAUUCACUAGUGUAUUGACCAUAGGACCUGCUGCCUUCAGUUCCAGGAUGUUCCACAAACAGAUGGUUACGCGGAGAAUGAGACGUUAAGGUGUGGAUUGAAACGACAAAAUGGAGCAGGGAGGACCGAGGCACAAGCGAGGGUUACAAGAUCGGAAUCCCAAUGCACCUCACUGGAGACAUGAAAGUGGCUGUUUAAAAAUGCAGCGCUAGACAGACCACACUCCUCCAUCAGAGAAUGGCACACAGAAAACCACACUUCAAAGACAUGAAGCAGACUGACUUCAAUCAAGUCAAGGCAAAGAAAAAAGAGCUAACUCACUUUAUUUGACUCAUUGGAUGCCCUCAGCCAUUCAGCUAUCCUCAUUCAGGUUGUUGAAAAGCAGAGAACAUUUUUACUCUGUGUCAAAGACAGUGUCGUUUGUGGACGGUCUUGAGAAGACAGUGUCAUAAAAUUGAUUGAGGAUCAAAUUCACAGUGUAACCAUCUCCAAGCAGGACGUGAGACCAGUGCAGAAUGUAUGUGAAGAUGGACGCCUUGUCACUGAGGCUAAAUAUUGUGAGUACAGGGGGCGGCCAUCUUUGCUUUACAAUGCAUUUUGCAAACCUGAUUUAACAGAGGCUCUCAGCUUCUUAAAGUGGGGAUAUGAGAACAAAGUCUGCACAAAUCUGAUUUUCACAAGUGCAUAAGCAAAUUAGGAUUAUUUUAAGACGCCUCCCGUGGCCCUUUCCAAAACCCCUCAGUAAGGGAGUGCCAGAGAAACAAAGCUUUUCCUGUUUUAGUGACAAUCUGCAUAAAACUUAUUACAAUAAUCCUUCUGGGCAGAGCUGUUGUUUUCCUCCUUCAGAUCCUUUCUCUAAGGCCCCCGCUGCCUUCCAGUACACAGGAGACGAUUCCAGAAGUUGCAUCCCAGCAGUUUGUUGUCCGUGUUGUUUGAAGUCAGUCCUAGUUGGAAGAGUCUUCUUCAGAGCUUUCAAACAAGCUUUAUUCAAAGCUUCCUCUGAUUUCUUCAGAACACAAAACCUGUUCAGGAGAGAGGUCGCUUCAUUCAGCACUUGAAUGUGGGAGAUGCUGCAUCGCCAUGGAGACAGACCUGUCCUUCUGUCGCUGCUUCAACUGACCUGUGGUUUAUUACGGAGUGUACGAGUGUCAGGACGGCUUCAAAAUGCAAGUGCUGUGGCCUGAAUGUGACACAAAAAGCCGUUUGUUGUUUUUCCCUCUACCUCUUCCUCUCUCUUCUGUCCUGAUGAGUCUGCACACCCAUGAGCAGUGUAUCCUCAUGCAUAACCGUACAAGCAGUUUUGUUCUCUGCACAAACAGGAGGCCCCUGUUUUCCCACAAACUUAUCAGAGGGGGACGAUAGGGGAACCUGAGGAGUAAAUCUGACAAAAGUCUUGUAUGCUCGCUGUCAGCGAUUCUGUUUGUGAAGCUCGGUAUUGGCACAGCUCAGCGACAGGCAAGGAGCAAAACAACAGGAAGACAUUUCAUUUUCUCAGAGGGUGAGGAUACAGCCCAGAUGGUCAGAUCUGACUUCCAACACUCACUCCAAUGAAUGUUGUAUCCCUUAUAAUCCCAGGUAUGUUGCAUGUUUGAUCAUUUGUUGCUCCCUCCUCUCUUGGCUUCCUCAGAUGCGGUGGCAGUGUUCUUGAAGUGGCAGACAACUUUGGCAGUUCCUCUGAAUCUUUAACGCUUGUCCUUAUUUCCUCUCCAAAGCGGCUGCCUUUGAAGUCUGGCCGAGGGGAUUGCUCCACUCCGCCUCACUAACUUCUAAAGUGUUUCUGAUCUGCGGUGAUGGCAGGGUCCUAAUUAAGUGGAAUUCAACUUACUUCAUCUUGUAAUUAUGAAGCCGGUGAAAGAGGGGCUCGCUCUGGAGUGAGUGUAAAUACAAACAGAUGGAGGAGGAGGAGGGAGAGCAGCUUUUUGUGUAUGUGAUUUUCAAAAAAAGCCACAGAAAUCCAUUUGCAUUCUUGAGCCAUAGAGAUCCACACUAGUCACUGCUAUCUGCAGAUUAAAUGAAGAUAUUUCCUCUGUAGGGCUGUUGUGAAAGACAGACUCGACACAGUCCGAUGCCUUCAUUCGUGUCUAAGAGUAGAAUGAUUUAUUCACAAACAAGUGGUUAUGAUGGCAUUUAUCAUUUAUUUUGAAAAGACUCAAGUGGCCGCUGCAGAGAGGUAGUGACACAACAGCAGCAUUUUUAAUCUGCGAGGUUGUUUGACUUGGCUGCAAUGCCCAAAAUAUCUCAGCUGUGAGCUCAUAUCGAAAGGCCUGAGGGAUCAAGAAGCAACAGAGUCAUUCAGCAGUCGAUGGGGCAUACUGUUGAUUUGGAGUUUUGUCCCUCGCGUUCAGCCUGUCACAUCCCAUCAGAGCAAGACGGGCCUCAAAGCUCAGGCUCAUUUUUAGCUCUGAUGGGAACUUUUGUAGAAGUCUCUGGUCAGCUGAGGCUAUGAGGAGUCACUGGCUGGUGGCGAGAAGGUGAUGAUCAGUGGAGGAUUAAGCUGGUGACACAGUAUGUAGGUCUCCGAGCUCGCAGGGAUGAGCGGUACAGGCCAGGGCAGCGGGGCAGGGCUGCAAUCAGCCUUUCUACUCUGCCCCUGCUUACACUAAUUACAUUACUCCUGGGGAUAUGGGAUAAUCAAAUCUUAAUGAGGUGUGGAAGACUUCAGUGCUGCUCUUGACGUGUUAGUCUGUGCCUACAGGUGCUGAACCUCUCGAUUUCCAGAAGUCUCUGCAGGAAUUGUACAUGAUGCAGCAGCAAAACACAUUUGAAAGCAGUUUCAAACUAAAGCUGUUAUCCAUGUAAGACACUAUUAGGUCUACUGUAAUGAAGCGAAGUGAUAAAGAACAGCACUGAGACCCAGGUUCACCUCUGCUCUCGGCAUUGUUUGGAUUUCUUGAAUUUAUUCAGAUGUAAUUGAAAGAAUAAUUGUUUUGCUUUUAAUGCUGCCUGAGGUUUACUUGAAGAUGAUCCACAGUCAUACAGUAGUAAUCUGAGCCAGAUAUUCAGUGCAUUACCUUUUCCCAUUUUACUAUGGCAUUUUGGCAGCAAACUGAUCUGACUGGAAGGAUUUAGUAGGUGGAAACAAGUCCAGCUGUGAUUUAGUUAGUCAUAGUGGUGGGAUGAUGGGUUUUUAAAAGCACAUUUGAUUUGAUUUAUUCAUUCAAGCAUGUAAAACAGUUGAUAUGUCAACACAU